Molecule: unclassified non-coding RNA, 1713 nt
Filed under: Bombyx mandarina (wild silkworm)
Lineage: Eukaryota; Metazoa; Arthropoda; Insecta; Lepidoptera; Bombycidae
Description: protein NDRG3, transcript variant X4
Source: RNAcentral
AGCGACUUACAUGCUUAUGAAAUUAAAAUGCUCUAAAUAGUUAAAUUAAACAUAAAUUAUUUUCAAGAGCAACACCUGGAGUACUUUAAAUGGUAUACUUUGAGAUGGAAACUGUUUCAGGCAGUUUGUCGCGAAGUGAGCCUAGUUUCGGUUUUGCACGAGCUUCUCAAGUGCGAGGCCGGCUGAUUACUUUGAUGUCGGCCGCAGAAGCAGGUGCACUGGUGCUCACAGUAUCUUCAGUGAAUUAAAACAUUCGUCUAACUCUUUAAAAAAAUAUUUGCUCCGACGGGCGCCCUUCACGUUGUAUUAAGUUGGCAUGUCUCGAAGUUUGCUGAAUGGCGCUUAUUAUGUGGUGUUGGAUGAAGUAUACAGAGAUACAACUGUGCCAAUAAAAAAGAAAAAUAUUAAGAAAAUUCUACAGUUUCGUGCAGCUGUUAGGAAAAGGCUUACUCCACUUUUUGCCAAGCGCUUGUCUCAAUUUGUUGGAGUUUUAAAUGAGCAAAAGGCUAUAACUCAACCAGACAAAGAAAAAUCCAUGAAAAUGCCAUCGAACAAUGCCGAAGAAACUGCUCUGCUUGGUAUGGACGACAUCGAACUUCGCAACAUCCAACUGCAGUUCCCGAGUGCUCGCCGGUUUAGUGGAGAAGCCGCUUGUACUGAGGUGCGGGUGCGCACUGACCGCGGCGACAUCCUCGUCGCUGUGCAAGGAGACCGUAACAAGCCCGCCAUCAUAACCUAUCAUGACCUCGGCCUCAACUACUCGUCAUUUCAACCGUUCUUCGGAUACGUCGAUAUGAGGGCUCUGCUCGAAAACUUUUGCGUGUACCAUGUCAACGCUCCAGGCCAAGAGGAAGGCGCCCCGAGCUUGCCGGAAGACUAUAUGUAUCCAUCGAUGGACGAGUUGGCGAAUCAACUGAACUACGUCAUGGGCCACUUCGGCAUCAAGACCUUUAUAGGAUUCGGCGUGGGCGCUGGAGCGAACGUGCUUGCUAGAUUCGCUCUUAUCCACCCUAAGAAGGUAGAUGCGCUGACAUUGAUCAACUGCACAUCGAACCAGGCCGGAUGGAUCGAGUGGGCUUACCAGAAGAUGAACACUCGGUCCCUUCGUUCCCGUGGCAUGACCCAGGGCGUGCUGGACUACCUUUUGUGGCAUCAUUUCGGACGUUUCCCCGAAGACCGCAACCACGAUCUGACCCAGAUGUACAAGAACUAUUUCACACGUAACGUGAACCCCAGCAACCUGUCGAUGUUCAUUGAGGCGUACGUGCGGCGCUCCGACCUGGGUAUAUGCCGUAACGCCGACACCAUCAAGGUGCCGGUGUUGAACAUCACGGGUGCUCUGUCACCUCACGUAGACGACACGGUGACCUUCAACGGACGUCUCAACCCGAACAAUUCGACUUGGAUGAAGAUCUCCGACUGCGCAAUGGUGCUUGAAGAGCAGCCAAGCAAGAUUUCGGAGGCAUUCCGCCUCUUCUUACAGGGCGAGGGCUAUGCUUAAUUGGAACGAGCUUUAAGAUUUAUUUCAAAACGCGUAUCUCUGAUUUAACUUGCUUACUGAGCGCCCAAAUGAGAUAGUGUUGCACAACUUUGGCAUGCGUGGCGCCUCUCUCGCCGACUAAGAUCGUUGCAUUCCGUCGGCUGUCGGACGCAGAGCGGCGUCGUCCGUGCCGCCACUCCUCUGUGAUUCGCAUCACCGAGAACCCUAUCUCG